CCAACGGCUCUUUUCAGGGCCACCAGAAGUUCAGGUCAAGAAAUC
Daphnia magna is the source of this 45-nucleotide non-coding RNA. Lineage: Eukaryota; Metazoa; Arthropoda; Branchiopoda; Diplostraca; Daphniidae. The record is from Rfam.